CAUUGUGAAAAGUUUGAAACAUUACAAAGUUUUGAAUUUGAGUUGAGUUUGAGAAGAAUAAUGGCCUUUAGUCAAAUUCAAAAAUGUGUUGUGAUGACCUUGGUGAUAAUGUUAGUUAUCAUACAAGCUGAAUGUAAUGCUCAAUCUGAAGAUUUUAAGUUAAACAAGGUUGAUGAACCUUGGUGUACAAUGAAGUGUAACUUAGUGUGUGCUGGAAAGCGUCUAGUUGAGGAUUUUAACGCGUGCGUGGCAGCUUGUAAAAAAUCCAAAUGCUGAGAAAAACAUUGAGAAGAUUCUUUGCAUAAUCAAGGUGCUUGUGCAUGCGAUGGAUACAAUUGCAGCGUAAUAAAUAUAUAUUUCGUACCUUUUACGAGAUAUGUUAGUUAAGAAAGUGUAAUCAUAAAGUUGACAUUAUGUCAAAUUUAAAUAAAUUUAUUAUUAUUUAUAAA
Long non-coding RNA from Lathyrus oleraceus (garden pea), 449 nucleotides. RefSeq lists it as uncharacterized. The transcript is spliced from 2 exons. The record is from RefSeq and is a predicted model, not a curated record. NCBI's taxonomy places the organism in Eukaryota, Viridiplantae, Streptophyta, Magnoliopsida, Fabales, Fabaceae.